RNAcentral lists this ribosomal RNA (305 nucleotides) under uncultured bacterium. Its description in RNAcentral is "bacterial SSU rRNA". It matches the Rfam family "Bacterial small subunit ribosomal RNA", at positions 334 to 637 of the family's 1533-position model. The record is from RNAcentral.
UUUUCCUACGGGAGGCAGCAGUGAGGAAUAUUGGUCAAUGGGCGGGAGCCUGAACCAGCCAAGUCGCGUGAAGGAAGAAGGUACUUAGUAUUGUAAACUUCUUUUGUCGGGGAACAAAGGCGGAGACGCGUCUCCGGAUGAGUGUACCCGAAGAAAAAGCAUCGGCUAACUCCGUGCCAGCAGCCGCGGUAAUACGGAGGAUGCGAGCGUUAUCCGGAUUUAUUGGGUUUAAAGGGUGCGCAGGCGGCACGGCAAGCCGGCGGUCAAAUCGCGGGGCUCAACCCCCCCCAGCCGGCUGAAGUGCC